Molecule: ribosomal RNA, 301 nt
Filed under: uncultured bacterium
Lineage: Bacteria
Description: partial 16S ribosomal RNA
Rfam family: Bacterial small subunit ribosomal RNA
Source: RNAcentral
CAGCAGCCACGGGAAUACGUAGGGUGCGAGCGUUAAUCGGAAUUACUGGGCGUAAAGCGUGCGCAGGCGGUUGUGUAAGACAGGUGUGAAAUCCCCGGGCUCAACCUGGGAACUGCGCUUGUGACUGCACAGCUAGAGUAUGGCAGAGGGGGGUGGAAUUCCACGCGUAGCAGUGAAAUGCGUAGAGAUGUGGAGGAACACCGAUGGCGAAGGCAGCCCCCUGGGCCAAUACUGACGCUCAUGCACGAAAGCGUGGGGAGCAAACAGGAUUAGAUACCCCCGUAGUCCCUGUCUCUUAUAC